This 401-nucleotide ribosomal RNA is filed under the name uncultured Lactobacillus sp. Its description in RNAcentral is "bacterial SSU rRNA". It matches the Rfam family "Bacterial small subunit ribosomal RNA", at positions 63 to 446 of the family's 1533-position model. The record is from RNAcentral. Lineage: Bacteria; Bacillati; Bacillota; Bacilli; Lactobacillales; Lactobacillaceae.
CGAAACUAACAGAUUUACUUCGGUAAUGACGUUAGGAAAGCGAGCGGCGGAUGGGUGAGUAACACGUGGGGAACCUGCCCCAUAGUCUGGGAUACCACUUGGAAACAGGUGCUAAUACCGGAUAAGAAAGCAGAUCGCAUGAUCAGCUUUUAAAAGGCGGCGUAAGCUGUCGCUAUGGGAUGGCCCCGCGGUGCAUUAGCUAGUUGGUAAGGUAAAGGCUUACCAAGGCGAUGAUGCAUAGCCGAGUUGAGAGACUGAUCGGCCUCAUUGGGACUGAGACACGGCCCAAACUCCUACGGGAGGCAGCAGUAGGGAAUCUUCCACAAUGGACGCAAGUCUGAUGGAGCAACGCCGCGUGAGUGAAGAAGGUUUUCGGAUCGUAAAGCUCUGUUGUUGGUGAA